Carica papaya (papaya) is the source of this 687-nucleotide non-coding RNA. NCBI's taxonomy places the organism in Eukaryota, Viridiplantae, Streptophyta, Magnoliopsida, Brassicales, Caricaceae. The record is from RefSeq and is a predicted model, not a curated record.
GAAGAAGCAAAAGAGCCUAUCUUGCUCAUUCUUCUACCCAUCUUCUGGGUCAUUAAGAGGGAGGAAUAAGAUAGCAUUUGACGGCGUUUGUUCCUCUUUCCUAUAUUCUCUUAUAGUUUUUUUGUUCAACUACUGUCCUUUUUUCUUUCAGGAAGACUUGGGGAACGUGCUUGAUGUAAUGAAUCGCUGAAUAUGUAAGAUGCAUGGACUUCCUACUAUUUACAGCAAAAAUUGGUUCAUUUAAAAGAGUCGGAAAUUAGAAAGUUUUCCUUUUGUAUAAUUACAUAACAAAGAAUACUCAGCAAAUGGUAUUCAACAACAAAUGAGACACUCGAGGAACUACAAGAUGAGGAGCUUCCGGUUCCUGGAUCUUGAUUGCCAUCUUUCGAGUGAUCUCCAUUUCCUGGACAAACCUUUGAUGCCUGCUUGGCAGCUGCAAAUUGGAAUCAUACAAACAGAGUUAGGUCCUUUAACUUCUUUUUUCGAGAAAAAAAUUUAGUUAAAUUUAUGAAAUCCAUGCAGUAUGCUAGAUCUUGUUAUUAAACGAGAGUCUAUUCACCUUGCUUCCUCUCGUCCCUCUUAAUCUGUUGGUAAGUCCUGAGGUAAAUGUUUAUUACCUCCGCAGCCUAUAGGUAGAAAAAUCAGUAAAAGAUAGUGAAUCCGAUAAGACAAGAUGAGCAGGAAAAA